Molecule: ribosomal RNA, 370 nt
Filed under: uncultured bacterium
Lineage: Bacteria
Description: bacterial SSU rRNA
Rfam family: Bacterial small subunit ribosomal RNA
Source: RNAcentral
GUAGGGUGCGAGCGUUAUCCGGAUUUACUGGGCGUAAAGGGUUGCGUAGGCGGUUUAUUAAGUCAAAACUCAUAUCUUCCAGCCUAACUGGAAAUCGGGUUUUGAUACUAAUAGACUUUGAGUAUCGGAGAGGUAGCCGGAACUUGCAGUGGAGAGGUGAAAUUCGUUGAUAUUGCAAGGAACACCGAUGGCGUAGGCAGGCUACUGGUCGAUUACUGACGCUGAUGCACGAAAGCUAGGGGAGCAAAAGGGAUUAGAGACCCCUGUAGUCCUAGCCGUAAACGAUGGACACUAGCUGAUUGCUUUUUUAGGUGAUUGGCGUAAGCUAACGCGUUAAGUGUCCCGCCUGGGGAGUACGGCCGCAAGGCUA